CCAGUCGGCGUCCUGGGUGUUGCGGCGGGACCGCCGUUGUGCUGGAGGCCUCUGGCG
RNAcentral lists this non-coding RNA (57 nucleotides) under Sus scrofa (pig). The record is from RNAcentral. Lineage: Eukaryota; Metazoa; Chordata; Mammalia; Artiodactyla; Suidae.